CUUGGUCAUUUAGAGGAAGUAAAAGUCGUAACAAGGUCUCCGUUGGUGAACCAGCGGAGGGAUCAUUACCGAGUUUACAACUCCCAAACCCAAUGUGAACGUUACCAAACUGUUGCCUCGGCGGGGUCACGCCCCGGGUGCGUAAAAGCCCCGGAACCAGGCGCCCGCCGGAGGGACCAACCAAACUCUUUUCUGUAGCCUUCGGGCGUUAUUUCUUACAGCUCUGAGCAAAAAUUCAAAAUGAAUCAAAACUUUCAACAACGGAUCUCUUGGUUCUGGCAUCGAUGAAGAACGCAGCGAAAUGCGAUAAGUAAUGUGAAUUGCAGAAUUCAGUGAAUCAUCGAAUCUUUGAACGCACAUUGCGCCCGCCAGUAUUCUGGCGGGCAUGCCUGUCCGAGCGUCAUUUCAACCCUCGAACCCCCUAGGGGGUCCGGCGUUGGGGAUCGGGAACCCCUAAGACGGGAUCCCGGCCCCGAAAUACAGUGGCGGUCUCGCCGCAGCCUCUCCUGCGCAGUAGUUUGCACAACUCGCACCGGGAGCGCGGCGCGUCCACGUCCGUAAAACACCCAACUUCUGAAAUGUUGACCUCGGAUCAGGUAGGAAUACCCGCUGAACUUAAGCAUAUCAAUAAGCGGAGGA
Molecule: ribosomal RNA, 639 nt
Filed under: uncultured fungus
Lineage: Eukaryota; Fungi
Description: eukaryotic LSU rRNA
Rfam family: 5.8S ribosomal RNA (bases 250-403)
Source: RNAcentral